Molecule: ribosomal RNA, 513 nt
Filed under: Oreina bifrons
Lineage: Eukaryota; Metazoa; Arthropoda; Insecta; Coleoptera; Chrysomelidae
Description: partial 16S ribosomal RNA
Rfam family: Bacterial large subunit ribosomal RNA
Source: RNAcentral
UCCUUUUGUUAAUAAUUUAAGGUCUAGCCUGCCCACUGAAAUUUUAAAUGGCCGUGGUAUUUUGACCGUGCUAAGGUAGCAUAAUCAUUAGUUUUUUAAUUAAAAACUGGAAUGAAAGGUUGGAUGAGAAAAUAGCUGUCUCUGUUAAAUUUAAUUAGAAUUUUAUUUUUAAGUUAAAAAGCUUAAUUAUAAUUAAAAGACGAGAAGACCCUAUAGAGUUUAAUUAUUGAAUAAAAAUUAUAUUUUAGUAUUAAUUUAUUUAUUUUAUUUACUAAUUUAAUUGGGGUGAUUGAAAAAUUUAACUAACUUUUUUUAUUUAAAGCCAUUAAUUUAUGAAUAAAUGAUCCAAUAUUUUUGAUUAUAAGAUAAAAUUACCUUAGGGAUAACAGCGUAAUUUUUUUAGAAAGUUCAUAUUAAAAAAAAAGAUUGCGACCUCGAUGUUGGAUUAAAAUAAAUUUUUGGUGUAGAAGCUAAAAAUAUUAGGUCUGUUCGACCUUUGAAAUUUUACAUGAU